Molecule: ribosomal RNA, 279 nt
Filed under: uncultured bacterium
Lineage: Bacteria
Description: partial 16S ribosomal RNA
Rfam family: Bacterial small subunit ribosomal RNA
Source: RNAcentral
UGCCAGCAGCCGCGGUAAUACGUAGGGUGCAAGCGUUGUUCGGAUUUACUGGGCGUAAAGAGUGCGUAGGCGGUUAAAAAAGUUUGGUGUGAAAUCUUCGGGCUUAACCCGGAAACUGCAUUGAAAACUAUUUGACUAGAGGAUCGGAGAGGAGAUUGGAAUUCUCAGUGUAGCAGUGAAAUGCGUAGAUAUUGAGAGGAACACCAGUUGCGAAGGCGGAUCUCUGGACGAUUCCUGACGCUGAGGCACGAAAGCUGGGGGAGCGAAGAGGAUUAGAUA